GUAAAGAUUUUGGUGGUAUAUUUCACUUUUGCUCUACAGCAGCUAUUGUCCUUGAUAGAUUUUAAAAUAGGCCCAGAAUGUGGCAGUUCAAACAAGCCUGACAGUGACAGUUCUUUCAAAAUACAGAAAACCUUGUUUGAUAUCAAUUUGACAGUGCUAUUCUUGAAUUUUAUUUGCCUACAACAAAUGCCUAAGGAAUCCAGAAGCAGC
Molecule: long non-coding RNA, 210 nt
Filed under: Mytilus galloprovincialis (Mediterranean mussel)
Lineage: Eukaryota; Metazoa; Mollusca; Bivalvia; Mytilida; Mytilidae
Source: RNAcentral